Long non-coding RNA from Cyprinus carpio carpio, 2861 nucleotides. The record is from Ensembl. Lineage: Eukaryota; Metazoa; Chordata; Actinopteri; Cypriniformes; Cyprinidae.
CAAGUCCCUUACAGAUAUCUUCUGCUUGUUCUGCAGGAGCACUUCAAAUCAGAUUGAUGGCAGGAUGGACUACACCUUCCAGGAUGGAGAUGCCAUACAACCAGUCAGCUUCCUAAAUGAGCUUCAUCUUCCAACUACUACAACAGUGCUUCCAGGAACAACAACCGGUUUCUCUGUGACUCCUUCAAACCUCAUAUCUGGUUCAGCACUGGUCACAAGCAAGCUGCUGUUCAACUCCUCAUCUCCAGUCCCCAGUGAAGCUCUGGUCCUCAGCGCUAUCAACACUCUCCGUAAUUCCAGAGAGUCACAGCUGAAUGAAUCAGUGAAGGUGGUGAAUGUCACCUAUGAGAAAAUCUCAGACACCUCUUAUGCUGUGGUCUUUACAUUUAAUUUGGUUAACAUCAGCAUGCCAGAGGACCCUGAGCGCAGAAACAAUACAUACCUGCAAGUGGAGGAUGUCGUCAAUAAUGCGCUGAACACUCUUCUGAAUGAACCUGGCAAGCAAGUUUUCAAACCAAAGUCCUCCAACUUCACGAGCACUUCAAAUCAGAUUGAUGGCAGGAUGGACUACACCUUCCAGGAUGGAGAUGCCAUACAACCAGUCAGCUUCCUAAAUGAGAUACGUCUGCCAACUACUACAACAGUGCUUCCAGGAACAACAACCGGUUUCUCUGUGACUCAUUCAAACCUCAUAUCUGGUUCAGCAGUGGUCACAAGCAAGCUGCUGUUCAACUCCUCAUCUCCAGUCCCCAGUGAAGCUCUGGUCCUCAGUGCUAUCAACACUCUCCGUAAUUCCAGAGAGUCACAGCUGAAUGAAUCUGUGAAGGUGGUGAAUGUCACCUAUGAGAAAAUCACGGCAACCUCCUAUGCUGUCAUCUUUAAUUUUCAUUUGAGUAAUAUCAGCAUGUCAAAAGAUCCUAAACUAAGAAAUGGCACUUACCUUCAAGCUCAGGGUGUCGUCAAUAAUGCGCUGAAUAGUCUUCUGAAUGAACCUGGCAGAACAACUUUAAAUCCCAAGUCGACCAACUUCAUAAGCACAUCAAACCAGAUUGAUGGCAGGAUGGAAUACACCUUCCAGGAUAGAGAUGCCAUACAACCAGUCAGCUUCCUAAAUGAGCUUCGUUCACCAACAGUCUUAACAACAGCCAGUACUCUGACAACUACUCCAAAGAUAGUGCUUGGCAGAGCACUUAUAUUCAUUAGCCUUGUGUUUGUCACACGGGGCCCCCUGCCAAAUCCAGAUAAUGUUCUUGCAGUGGCUAACACUCUGCUGAAAACACGUCUCACAGCUAAACAAGACACCACAACACAAGACCUGAGUGAUCCUGUGAGCUUUGUCAAUGUCACAUACACAAAAAUAAACGAGACAGCCUAUGCUCUCAACUUUGGAUUUGAAAUCAGCAAUAUAACCAUGUCUGAGAAACUUGAACUCAGGAAUGGUACCCACCUGUUAAUACAAGACUCCUUAAACACAUUGCUGGCCAAGAUCCUCCUCGAUAACUCCUCAGCUCCUGUCAUUAAGUUCCAAGCAGCUGAUUUCACGGGUAAUUCCACUGUGAUUCAGGCCAAAGUAGAGUAUGUUAUCUCACCAAGUGACAUCACGCAACCCAGCAUAUUUGUUCAGGAACUUCUCCAACUCGCCGAAGAGACCACUCUGACAACAACUUCACCACCAAUCUUGAGUAGGAAGGCAAUUAUUACGAUUCGUCUCGAGUUUAUCACACUGGGCCCAAGACCAAGUGAGAAUAGUGUUCUAGAGGUGGUUAAAUCUAUGCUGGCCGCAAAUCUCACAACUAAACUAACUGCCAGAACAGUAAGCGUGAGUGAUCCUGUGAUCUUGACAAAUGUCAACUAUUUAGGAAUUAAUGACACUGCCUACGCGCUCAUCUUUACAUUUGAAAUCAGCAAAGUAUUACUGACAGAGUUAAAAAGGAAUGAAACCUAUCAAGAAAUCCAAAAUAAGAUAAAUGACUUGGUGAUCCAGAUCCUAAAGGACCCCUCAGUUAAUCUGCUCAUUCCAGCCCAUUUCAAGGAAAAUUCCACUGUGAUUGAGGCCAAUGUUACGUAUGUUUUCUCACAAUAUGCCAGCAACACGGGUGCCGGUUUCUUGGUCAAUACCCUUUUCACAGUUUUUACCACACCAGUUCCAACCACCAUGAGCACUACAAUCUCAAACAACAGUACAAACGCAGCAUGGGUUGUGGCUAUCAUUGUCCCCUGUGCUAUUAUCAUCGGGCUCGUACCUUGCUGGAUUCUCCUUUGUUGUUUGCUGUGUGGUUGCUGUGCAGCAAUCAGGAGACGAUGGCACAGAAGACGGUCAUACAAUGUACAGUACACAACUCGAAACAGCCUCUUCUAGAGAAUUCAGGGAUGACAAAAAAAGGACUGAACACCAAUGAAAACAUAAAAAUCAUGGAUUUUGGAUAUUCAGUGUGCAAUUCAAUGCUGCCUCUUAAGUAUAAAAGUACUAUGUUAAUGCUUAUUUUAUAAAUUAUUGCUAGACAAACAGGUUCUCUAUAAAAUGUUCAUAAAUGUGAUAUUUUAAUUCUCCUAUAGCGUAUAAUAAAACUGUAUUGCUGUUAUUUAUUUGUAUUUAUUGUAAUAUUCUGUUUAUGUUUACAAUUAAUAAGCUUUUGCAAAGCAUUAGUCUGCUUGACACACAGUUUCAUUUAAAGGGACAAAGGUAGAACUUUGGAAUUACAGCUAUUAUUUAUUCACACUCUGUGCACUUUAUAAUGUUAAGCAAAGGUAAAGCAAGCUCAUGAUGUAAAGGAAAUGUAAAGCAAGUUUAGUUGUUGGCAUGAACAAGUUAAACUGCAAAAAAAAUAAAAAAUACUAGAUUAAUAAAGAAUACAGAACAA